Molecule: unclassified non-coding RNA, 354 nt
Filed under: Hevea brasiliensis (rubber tree)
Lineage: Eukaryota; Viridiplantae; Streptophyta; Magnoliopsida; Malpighiales; Euphorbiaceae
Rfam family: Bacterial large subunit ribosomal RNA
Source: RNAcentral
GCCGAAGCUGCGGAUUUGACAUUAGUCAAGUGGUAGGGGAGCGUUCUGUAAGCCGAUGAAGGUGUAUUGAGAAGUAUGCUGGAGGUAUCAGAAGUGCGAAUGCUGACAUGAGUAGCGAUAAAGCGGGUGAAAGGCCCGCUCGCCGAAAGCCCAAGGUUUCCUACGCAACGUUCAUCGGCGUAGGGUGAGUCGGCUCCUAAGGCGAGGCCGAAAGGCGUAGUCGAUGGGAAAUCGGUUAAUAUUCCGAUACUUGUUUAUGAUGCGAUGGAGGGACGGAGAAGGUUAUGCCAGCUUGGCGAUGGUUGUCCAAGUGGAAGGAUGUAGUUAGGUUUAGUAGGCAAAUCCGCUAGACUA